UACAGAGACUGCGAGCGUUAAUCGGAAUUACUGGGCGUAAAGCGUGCGCAGGCGGUUUUGUAAGUCAGAUGUGAAAUCCCCGGGCUUAACCUGGGAACUGCGUUUGAAACUACAAGGCUAGAGUGUGGCAGAGGGGGGUGGAAUUCCACGUGUAGCAGUGAAAUGCGUAGAGAUGUGGAGGAACACCGAUGGCGAAGGCAGCCCCCUGGGUUAACACUGACGCUCAGGCACGAAUGCGUGGGGAGCAAGCAGG
This 253-nucleotide ribosomal RNA is filed under the name uncultured bacterium. RNAcentral's name for it is "partial 16S ribosomal RNA". It matches the Rfam family "Bacterial small subunit ribosomal RNA", at positions 524 to 776 of the family's 1533-position model. The record is from RNAcentral.